RNAcentral lists this transfer RNA (89 nucleotides) under Theionarchaea archaeon DG-70. Its description in RNAcentral is "tRNA-Ser". It matches the Rfam family "tRNA". From Rfam's summary of the family: Transfer RNA (tRNA) molecules are approximately 80 nucleotides in length. Their secondary structure includes four short double-helical elements and three loops (D, anti-codon, and T loops). Lineage: Archaea; Methanobacteriati; Methanobacteriota; Theionarchaea. The record is from RNAcentral.
GCCCCAGUAGCACAGCCAGGAUCUGUCAUAACUGACAGUGCAUACGGCUGCUGACCGUAAGGUCGAGGGUUCAAAUCCCCCCUGGGGCA